GCGCCUGUGGCGGAAUUGGUAGACGCGCCAGACUUAGGAUCUGGUUUCUCCCGAAGUGCAGGUUCGAGUCCUGUCAGGCGCA
This 82-nucleotide transfer RNA is filed under the name Prevotella sp. Its description in RNAcentral is "tRNA-Leu". It matches the Rfam family "tRNA". Rfam says of the family: Transfer RNA (tRNA) molecules are approximately 80 nucleotides in length. Their secondary structure includes four short double-helical elements and three loops (D, anti-codon, and T loops). Further hydrogen bonds mediate the characteristic L-shaped molecular structure. tRNAs have two regions of fundamental functional importance: the anti-codon, which is responsible for specific mRNA codon recognition, and the 3' end, to which the tRNAs corresponding amino acid is attached (by aminoacyl-tRNA synthetases). tRNAs cope with the degeneracy of the genetic code in two manners: having more than one tRNA (with a specific anti-codon) for a particular amino acid; and 'wobble' base-pairing, i.e. permitting non-standard base-pairing at the 3rd anti-codon position. Lineage: Bacteria; Pseudomonadati; Bacteroidota; Bacteroidia; Bacteroidales; Prevotellaceae. The record is from RNAcentral.